Molecule: small RNA, 67 nt
Filed under: Psychrobacillus sp. OK032
Lineage: Bacteria; Bacillati; Bacillota; Bacilli; Caryophanales; Bacillaceae
Description: Bacillaceae-1 RNA
Rfam family: Bacillaceae-1 RNA
Source: RNAcentral
GUUUGGGGUAGGUCUACCAAGUAUGCCACAUUCUGUGGCAUAGCAGACAUAACCCGCAUCGUGCGGG